UGGUUUAACUUCAGUCAGAUUUUAAAUCUUGGCUUUAAGGCUUGGCUAAAUAAUUAGGUCAAACCACUGCAACAUUCCCACGUAACUAAGGCCUUAAUAAAGGAUUUUAAAGAUAAAUACCUCAGUUAAAUACUUAAGCUGCAGUCUGAAACCUAUUGAAGUCAACGAGACAGGAGAGCAAGCUGCCAACAAGAUACACUCUGAAGUGUCUUUCUGAAUCAGUGGCUUCAUUCUCCUCUAAGGAACAAACCUCCAUUUCAGUGAAAGUCAUCUUAGGAUCAUGGCUUUUUCUUAGAUCUCUGCCAGCUACGAAGCCUGUGAGAGAGAGGACAGUGGUAUAAAGGCCUGGCUGCAGGAGAGUGCUGCAGGAAGCUGGAGAGAACAGAUUCUCAGCUAUACGUUCCAUUAGAAAGGUAACAUGCACUUACAUAUACCG
This 436-nucleotide long non-coding RNA is filed under the name Phasianus colchicus (ring-necked pheasant). RNAcentral's name for it is "lncRNA (ENSPCLG00000006466.1)". Lineage: Eukaryota; Metazoa; Chordata; Aves; Galliformes; Phasianidae. The record is from RNAcentral.